Molecule: ribosomal RNA, 400 nt
Filed under: uncultured organism
Description: bacterial SSU rRNA
Rfam family: Bacterial small subunit ribosomal RNA
Source: RNAcentral
ACAGGUGUUGCAUGGCCGUCGUCAGCUCGUGUGGUGACAUGUUGGAUUAAUUUCCCGAACGAGCGAAACCCUGCCACAUUGCACUAUACACACGUACGUCAAUGUGGACCGCCAGUGAGAGACUGGAGGCAGGAUGGGAUGACGUCAAGUCCUCAUGACCCUUAUGAACUGGGCUACACACGUGUUACAAUGGUGUGAACAAUACGUAGCAAGACCGAAAGGUGGAGCCAAUCGCCAAAUCACACCUCAGUACGGAUUGGUGUCUGCAACUCGACACCAUCAAGCCGGAAUCACUAGUAAUCGUGGAUCAGCACGCCACGGUGAAUAUGUACCUGAGCCUUGUACUCCCCGCCCGUCACACUCUGGGAGAUGUAUGUAGUGGAAGUACCUAUACAUACCG